CCUACGGGAGGCAGCAGUAGGGAAUUUUCGGCAAUGGGGGGAACCCUGACCGAGCAACGCCGCGUGAACGAAGAAGUUAUUCGUAAUGUAAAGUUCUUUUAACAGGGAAGAAAGAGAAAUUUGGCGGUACCUGGAGAAUAAGCUCCGGCUAACUACGUGCCAGCAGCCGCGGUAAUACGUAGGGAGCGAGCGUUAUCCGGAAUUAUUGGGCGUAAGGGGUGCGUAGAUGGCAUAGUAAGUCUUUUGUAAAAAUGCUGGGCUCAAACCAGUAGGGCAAAAGAUACGGCAAAGCUAGAGUAUGACAGAGGCAAGUGGAACUACAUGUGUAGCGGUAAAAUGCGUAAAGAUAUGUAAGAACACCAGUGGCGAAGGCGGCUUGCUGGGUCGAUACUGACAUUGAGGCACGAAAGCGUGGGGAGCAAACAGGAUUAGAUACCCCAGUAGUC
This 446-nucleotide ribosomal RNA is filed under the name uncultured bacterium. Its description in RNAcentral is "partial 16S ribosomal RNA". It matches the Rfam family "Bacterial small subunit ribosomal RNA", at positions 338 to 795 of the family's 1533-position model. The record is from RNAcentral.